UACGAAGGGGGCUAGCGUUGCUCGGAAUCACUGGGCGUAAAGGGUGCGUAGGCGGGUCUUUAAGUCAGGGGUGAAAUCCUGGAGCUCAACUCCAGAACUGCCUUUGAUACUGAAGAUCUUGAGUUCGGGAGAGGUGAGUGGAACUGCGAGUGUAGAGGUGAAAUUCGUAGAUAUUCGCAAGAACACCAGUGGCGAAGGCGGCUCACUGGCCCGAUACUGACGCUCAGACACGACAGCAUGGGGAGCGAACGGG
RNAcentral lists this ribosomal RNA (253 nucleotides) under uncultured bacterium. RNAcentral describes it as "partial 16S ribosomal RNA". It matches the Rfam family "Bacterial small subunit ribosomal RNA", at positions 524 to 776 of the family's 1533-position model. The record is from RNAcentral.